Molecule: ribosomal RNA, 305 nt
Filed under: Penaeus indicus
Lineage: Eukaryota; Metazoa; Arthropoda; Malacostraca; Decapoda; Penaeidae
Description: partial small subunit ribosomal RNA
Source: RNAcentral
CUUAGUCUAUUUAGAGGAACCUGUCCUGUAAUCGAUAGUCCACGAAGAAUCUUACUUUACUUUGUAGAUAUACAGUUUGUAUACCGUCAUUAUUAGGUAACUUUUAUAAAAAAUAAAGUUACUAAAAUAGUCUGGCUAAUAUAUUAGAUCAAGGUGCAGCUUAUAGUAAAGGAAGAGAUGGGUUACAAUAUGCUAAAAUAUACGGAACAACGGAUGAACAUUUGUUGAUAAGGUGGAUUUAAAAGUAAAGAGAUUUUAAUAAGAUGUCUUGAUUUUAGCUCUAGGUUAUGUACACAUCGCCCGUC